RNAcentral lists this ribosomal RNA (253 nucleotides) under uncultured bacterium. RNAcentral describes it as "partial 16S ribosomal RNA". It matches the Rfam family "Bacterial small subunit ribosomal RNA", at positions 524 to 776 of the family's 1533-position model. The record is from RNAcentral.
UACGUAGGGGGCAAGCGUUGUCCGGAUUCCUUGGGCGUAAAGAGCGUGUAGGCGGCCAGGUAGGUCGGUUGUGAAAACUGGAGGCUCAACCUUCAGAGGUCGACCGAAACCAUCUGGCUAGAGUCCGGGAGAGGAGAGUGGAAUUCCUGGUGUAGCGGUGAAAUGCGCAGAUAUCAGGAAGAACACCCGUGGCGAAAGCGGCUCUCUGGAACGGUACUGACGCUGAGACGCGAAAGCGUGGGGAGCGAACAGG